Molecule: long non-coding RNA, 1944 nt
Organism: Hordeum vulgare subsp. vulgare (domesticated barley)
Lineage: Eukaryota; Viridiplantae; Streptophyta; Magnoliopsida; Poales; Poaceae
Exons: 2
Source: RefSeq, a predicted model, not a curated record
UCCAACAACCUAGAAAGUGGCAUGGAUGGUUGGCCUUGGCAAAAUGGUGGUAUAAUACCUCUUACCACACAUCAUGACUCCAUUUCAAGCAUUAUGGUGGCUGAGUAAGCACUGCCUGAUUCAAUAUGGGCAGAGAGUGACAACUUGAUGCAGAAUAGGGAGCUGGCUAUGGAAGUGAUCAAGCACAACCUAAGUAAAGCACAAGCUAGGAUGAAGUAGUAUGCUGGUCAGAAAAGAAAGGAAAGAGAGUUCAUGGUGGGGGACAUGGUCUAUCUAAAACUGCAGCCUUAUAGACACACCUCUCUCAGCGUGCAUAAGCACCUCAAACUGCAUUCUAAGUUCUAUGGCCCCUUUAGAGUGUUGGAAAGAGUGGGCAAGCAUGCUUACAAGUUAUUACUUCCAGAGGGAUGCCAGUUACACCCUACCUUCCAUAUGAGCGAGCUGAAAAAGCACAUUGGUGAGCAUGUGGUGCCAUCUCCUCACUUGCCCCUGGUGAAUGCAGAUGAAACUAUCAGAAGAGAGCCUGAAGCUGUGUUAGACAAAAAACUAGUUCCUCAGCGCCAAGGUGAGAUAAGCAUUCCUGUGGUGCGUUGGCUGGUCAAGUGGAUCAAUAUGCCUGCCGAAGAAGAUACUUGGAAAGAUGCAGCUUUUAUCCAGAAGAUUUUCCUUGCGUUUAGAGCUUGAGGACAAGCUCAGAUUUAAAAUGAGGGUAUUCUCAGGCUCUGAAGAAAGCACCUGGUGAUCAAUGUAUUGUGAAGGGUGUCGGAAGCGCCAUCUUCCUUUCAUCACAGAUUCAACGGUUAUGACAUAAAGCGACACUAUUGAAUUUCCGACAAAGCCCCUGACCAGUCGCGCGUCCCUCUUCUCCUCUGGCUAUAAAGCCAUGUAACUUUCCCCUUUGGCAACUUUAUGCUUAUUGUAAUCUAGGGUUGAAUCCUAGCCGGUGAGCUACAUUUCCAUUUCCUUCUCAGCAAAGCUCCAAAUUCCUCGCUAUUUCUUCUCUGAAAUCGAGUUCGUGUUCCACUGUUCGUGAUCAUACUCUGUUCGUAGUAAGCGAGUGCUUGACAGGUUAGGGCCCCCGCGCCCCUAUCCCCCUCCAUCCUCCAGUGCUCCCCAUGCCCAUGGCGGGAUCCGUCCGUCACCGACCCCCGGAGAGGCCUCCACCACCGGAUCCGGCCACCACGAUCAUCAGCGCGGCCACAAAAUGACGGAUCUUGCCACCACCCACUAUCCACCCCCGCUGCCCUUCCUCCCCAUCAUUCCAUCCCAGAGGAGAUGACUCCGGCACGGAUCCAGCCUCCCAGGCGGAUCCCGAACAACAACUCCUCCCUCCGCUGCUUCCUGGUGGUCGAUAGAGGAGCUGGAAGGUCCGGACCUCCUAGUGCUCCACGGCUACGAGCCAUCUACUGCCUGCCGUCAACGGAAUUCAGCAGCUGGCCCCACCGUCCCUUUUCCGAGUUGGCCGUCGGUGCACUUCGCCGAUGACAGGAGGACAUCUCGGUUCCUCGGGCGUGCGGCUCGCCUGUUAGCUGGAUGCGAUCAUCGUGUGAUGAAAUUUGUUAUGUGGCCGUCAAGAGGACCACGACUGGCAGGAGGAUGACGGCGACCUACCACAAGCAGCCUCCACAUGCCCGUGUGUGUUUUGCAAUUCAGUUCGAAGUAGUUUCAGUGCCCGCGGUGCUGGCGUGCAGUGCAGUGCACCGUCGACCCUUGGUCAGGCGUUCACGUGUUCUGUUGUUCGGUAGUUGCUGCCUUUUUCAGGUUUGGGGGUUGGACUUGCGGUGCUCUGGUGUACUACGACUGGGAGAGUAGUGUAGUUCUAGUUCUAUGUUUAUUUUAGCAUUUAGAUAUGCAGUGUAGUGUGUAACAUUUAGAUAUGUACUCCCUCCGUCUGGAAUUACCUGUCGCAAAAAUGGAUAGAAAUGGAUGUAUCUAAAACUAAAA